This 75-nucleotide transfer RNA is filed under the name bacterium. RNAcentral's name for it is "tRNA-Pro". It matches the Rfam family "tRNA". Rfam says of the family: Transfer RNA (tRNA) molecules are approximately 80 nucleotides in length. The record is from RNAcentral. RNAcentral also lists the same sequence under 4 other names.
CGGGGUGUAGUUCAUCGGUAGAACGCUCGGUUUGGGACCGAGAAGUAGUGGGUUCAAUUCCCUCCACCCCGACCA